This 2851-nucleotide long non-coding RNA is filed under the name Volvox carteri. RNAcentral describes it as "long non-coding RNA (VCAR_LNC003752)". Lineage: Eukaryota; Viridiplantae; Chlorophyta; Chlorophyceae; Chlamydomonadales; Volvocaceae. The record is from RNAcentral.
CCAAACACACAAAGUAACUUUAAUAUCUUUUUUCUUAUCUCACAGAACUAAGCAAGAAUGUUACAAAAGCUCUUGCAGCGCUGCAAGGUAUUUAGCUUACAUCUGUCCCAGUUUUAAAAAUUUCGUAAAUGUGAGCCCGAACAGCUCAACAGUGGCAGUGAAAUGUCAAUCUUACACCUCCAGAAAGUAAUUCCUUACUUAGAAUCAUCUAUUGAGCAAGCAUUUGCCCCUAGUAAAUGUUACUUCAUAUUUGUUUGAAGUUCUUGAUACUCAUUACUUCAUAAUUGCUUGAUCAUGAAGUUCUUAAUAAAUGUCACUUAAUAUUUGUUUGGAGGACUUAGUAUUUGGGACUAAGCGCUUCGAGUACCAUUAGUAUGUAACAUGAUACUAAGUGACCUACUAAGCGGCCUAUUAAGAAUGUUACCAGGUAGCUAUGAAGGACAUAUGAAGUGGGUAGCACUAAGAUGGUAUUAAGAAGAUACUAAGUGGUGGCGUUCCACGAGUGUAGAUAAUAUAUGCACCACACAAUUAAUAUCCAAGCAUUUCGUAGAUCACCGGUGGGCAGUGCACGAAAACCCCUGCUACAGCUGUGAGCUCAGUCAACGAGCACUGUACAGAACAGUAUACAUAGAUAUAUAGUUCAGCAGGUAGAGGCCAGAGCUCUGGCCCUCGAGGGAAGCAAAACAUGUCAUCACNNNNNNNNNNNNNNNNNNNNNNNNNNNNNNNNNNNNNNNNNNNNNNNNNNUCCUCAUGACUGAUCAGUCCAACAGGGGGAACACCAUAAAAGACUGCGGACAUACAUUGUACCCAACACUUGUACAAGCAACAGUUUUAAUUGCCAGGAGAGACUUUAGAUAGAGCUGUAUGUGCAGUGCGUGGGUGUCAAAGGACAGGAUGUAUGGUUGAGGAUAGUGUGAGUAGCCAGAGCAUGCAGGGGCCCCUAACAUCACCCUACCUCUUUCCCUCCCUCCCUCCCUCCGAAAAACACGUGCUUACCAGCAAAAUCGCCAAGCUGCCGGCUGGUCGCCUGUUUAGCUAGCUAGCUCUCCCGAGUAGUGCCUGGUGCAUGUCCGGGUAGUAGAUGGUUGCACACAAUUGUGUGUGGCAGAGAAGUGAACCGGAACCGUCUCGUGCAUUCUCAUCAUCACCAUCAUCAUCACCUCGUGCAUUUUGGGGAAUUGGAUGCAUCCCUCCACCAGUUUACAUCCGUUCUGCACCCCGAUGAUCCAUACAUGAUCCAUGCGUCGGCAUGCAUGCAGACGCCGUCGCGCACCACGUCCAAAAGGGGAGUUGCGGGAAUCGAACCCACGACCUCUCGCACCCGAAGCGAGAAUCAUACCACUAGACCAAACUCCCUCUUGCUUGUCCUGAGGGGACCGAGUUGCCCGUUAUAUACACCUUGUACUGCAGCUGCUAUACACACACAUCCGUAUAGCACGCGUGUGUAUAGCGUACGCACGCGCGCAUACACACAGACACGCACACACACAGACACGCACACGCACACGUGUGCACACACACACAACACACACACACACACACAUUCACGUACGACAAUGCACGAGGCGCAAUCGCGCAACUAUUAUGAUGAUAAUUUCUUGAAGGGGAUCGGGAAAGAUAUGGCGCAUCAUAGAAACAUCCACUUACAAGCAAGGAGAUAGAUAGCGUCGACUCUAUCAAACAACCUCAUGGCUGUAAUUAUGAACCACAUGAAUGAUGAUGUACGUAAUAAUAUAUCAUUAACCAUAAACACACAUAUACAAUAAUAUGUAAUAACUCAUUAUAUACCUGGUAUAUAUACCUGGUAUCGCUACCCCGCUGUACUAUCUAGCUAGUUAUUAUUAUAUAUAUAGCACUCGUGGAACGGAACUAUCUUAAGAUGCCACUUAUCCGCUUAGUAAUUACUUAGGGGCAUCUUGGUACCAACUACAGUGAUACUUACCAACGGCGAUAAGAGCUUCGUAUGUACAUGUCGCAGCUCUACUAGCUAACUGCCAAACACACAAAGUAACUUUAAUAUCUUUUUUCUUAUCUCACAGAACUAAGCAAGAAUGUUACAAAAGCUCUUGCAGCGCUGCAAGGUAUUUAGCUUACAUCUGUCCCAGAUUUAAAAUUUUCGUAAAUGUGAGCCCGAACAGCUCAACAGUGGCAGUGAAAUGUCAAUCUUACACCUCCAGAAAGUAAUUCCUUACUUAGAAUCAUCUAUUGAGCAAGCAUUUGCCCCUAGUAAAUGUUACUUCAUAUUUGUUUGAAGUUCUUGAUAUUCAUUACUUCAUAAUUGCUUGAUCAUGAAGUUCUUAAUAAAUGUCACUUAAUAUUUGUUUGGAGGGCUAGUAUUCGGGACUAAGCGCUUCGAGUACCAUUAGUAUGUAACAUGAUACUAAGUGACCUACUAAGCGGCCUAUUAAGAAUGUUACCAGGUAGCUAUGAAGGACAUAUGAAGUGGGUAGCACUAAGAUGGUAUUAAGAAGAUACUAAGUGGUGGCGUUCCAUGAGUGUAGAUAAUAUAUGCACCACACAAUUAAUAUCCAAGCAUUUCGUAGAUCACCGGUGGGCAGUGCACGAAAACCCCUGCUACAGCUGUGAGCUCAGUCAACGAGCACUGUACAGAACAGUAUACAUAGAUAUAUAGUUCAGCAGGUAGAGGCCAGAGCUCUGGCCCUCGAGGGAAGCAAAACAUGUCAUCAGGUCAUGACCUGUUCCCCAGUUUCCAUGCACUGAUGAUCAUCAGUGCACGGAAACCCCAAUGAGACCAAUAAUAACAAGCACUAUAACCGAGGUAAAGAUAGCCCAGCAAAUAGAGGCUGGCAGGGGGCCUGUUUGUAGAGGCUGGCAGGGGGCACCGGGAAAG